UCUCGACAUGGUGUUGUGUUACGGAUCACAUCGACAAAGUACUGGAUUUGCCGCACACUUAAUUUCCGUGCAUAAAAAUACUCCUGCAUGGGCAAACCGACCGAAUACCUCUUGAAAACAAGAGAGCUUAUUCAAGUUUUCUUGAAAACAACACCGCCAUUGCCACACUCACACACAAAGCGAACCACUUCCGUGUAAGAAAACCGAUCGGAGAAAGGUGUGAGCCACCGAAAGGUUGCACAAAAAAUUCCGUCCUCCGUGAGUCCGCGUCUUGUAGGUGGUACUGGAAAAGCUAAGAUCGGUGAACUUGAAGCCGAUUGACUCAGCUGAAGGAGAAAUCUGGCCAAAACGAUCAACAUCUUGGCCGUUAAAGCUCAAAAUUCCACGAGGUCAAUCGACGCCCAACCAGAGUACCCAAAUCAACUGGCUACUGCGUUGUGCCGAAAACCUUCUCAGCUCGAUCUAGAAAGCUUUUCCACCCGACACGACACGAGGCUAAAAUACCCGGAGAACGGUUUCCUAUUGGAUCCAAAUCCAAUCAGAUAAGACCCGUCAAUCCAUCGAACUGAAUUGAAGCACAUCAUCGCAUCAGCACGAUUCCCUACAAUAAUCAGCCUCGCAUCCUCGCAGCGUGAAGAGACGAAGCCUUCAAGAGAAGGCUUCAUUACCGGAUUCCAUUCGCCGGCAAAGCGGCGACAGAUAAUCUUCGGUGCGUUUGCUUUGGUCGAGGCAGCGAGCACUGACAGGCCAACGGGCCACUGCCCCUGUGAUCACCAUUCGGGACAAGCCGUCCAUCGGUAGGCUGUAAUCUAGAAGGAGCCUCCGCUCACAGAGCGACAGAAGAUCUCAUCGUGCCCUACAUUAGACGAUGACAAGUGCACCGGUGUGUAGUGUUGGCCAGGAGAAAACGACGCGCGGAGUGUGGCUCGGCCGAGUGUAGUAGAAGCUCGAUUUAGGACGAGUGCCACAGUCAAGCAUCAGCACUGUCAGGGUAGAGCAUCCCACGAAUCGGGACAUCGAGAGUCAAGCCAUUGAACGAUAUUGGCGAUCUGAGUGAUCGCGCCUUCGAAGCAUAGGCGAUUGCAUGUUCGCACAGAAGCGGCGUCAUCAUCACGGGGCCCCGUCCAGCAGCAGAGCAUCGAAUGCAGCAAGGUACCGUUAGUCUUAAGUAAACAUAAGAGCAAAAAUGUUUAUAUGUAGCAAUAUAUGUCAAAUGCCAUGAA
RNAcentral lists this long non-coding RNA (1223 nucleotides) under Aedes aegypti (yellow fever mosquito). RNAcentral's name for it is "lncRNA AAEL025180". Lineage: Eukaryota; Metazoa; Arthropoda; Insecta; Diptera; Culicidae. The record is from RNAcentral.